RNAcentral lists this ribosomal RNA (560 nucleotides) under uncultured Alphaproteobacteria bacterium. RNAcentral's name for it is "bacterial SSU rRNA". It matches the Rfam family "Bacterial small subunit ribosomal RNA", at positions 338 to 916 of the family's 1533-position model. Lineage: Bacteria; Pseudomonadati; Pseudomonadota; Alphaproteobacteria. The record is from RNAcentral.
CCUACGGGAGGCAGCAGUGGGGAAUCUURGACAAUGGGCGCAAGCCUGAUCUAGCCAUGCCGCGUGAGUGAUGAAGGCCUUAGGGUCGUAAAGCUCUUUCGCCAGAGAUGAUAAUGACAGUAUCUGGUAAAGAAACCCCGGCUAACUCCGUGCCAGCAGCCGCGGUAAUACGGAGGGGGUUAGCGUUGUUCGGAAUUACUGGGCGUAAAGCGCACGUAGGCGGAUUAGAAAGUAAGGGGUGAAAUCCCAGGGCUCAACCCUGGAACUGCCUCUUAAACUGCUGGUCUUGAGUUCGAGAGAGGUGAGUGGAAUUCCGAGUGUAGAGGUGAAAUUCGUAGAUAUUCGGAGGAACACCAGUGGCGAAGGCGGCUCACUGGCUCGAUACUGACGCUGAGGUGCGAAAGUGUGGGGAGCAAACAGGAUUAGAUACCCUGGUAGUCCACACCGUAAACGAUGAAUGCCAGUCGUCGGGUAGCAUGCUAUUCGGUGACACACCUAACGGAUUAAGCAUUCCGCCUGGGGAGUACGGUCGCAAGAUUAAAACUCAAAKGAAUUGACGG